This 301-nucleotide ribosomal RNA is filed under the name uncultured bacterium. RNAcentral describes it as "partial 16S ribosomal RNA". It matches the Rfam family "Bacterial small subunit ribosomal RNA", at positions 509 to 809 of the family's 1533-position model. The record is from RNAcentral.
CAGCCGCCGCGGUAAUACGUAGGUGGCAAGCGUUGUCCGGAAUUAUUGGGCGUAAAGGGCUCGCAGGCGGUUUCUUAAGUCUGAUGUGAAAGCCCCCGGCUCAACCGGGGAGGGUCAUUGGAAACUGGGAAACUUGAGUGCAGAAGAGGAGAGUGGAAUUCCACGUGUAGCGGUGAAAUACGUAGAGAUGUGGAGGAACACCAGUGGCGAAGGCGACUCUCUGGUCUGUAACUGACGCUGAGGAGCGAAAGCGUGGGGAGCGAACAGGAUUAGAUACCCCCGUAGUCCCUGUCUCUUAUAA